This 468-nucleotide ribosomal RNA is filed under the name uncultured bacterium. RNAcentral describes it as "partial 16S ribosomal RNA". It matches the Rfam family "Bacterial small subunit ribosomal RNA", at positions 28 to 507 of the family's 1533-position model. The record is from RNAcentral.
GACGAACGCUGGCGGCGUGCUUAACACAUGCAAGUCGAACGGAAAGGCCCUGCUUUUGUGGGGUGCUCGAGUGGCGAACGGGUGAGUAACACGUGAGUAACCUGCCCUUGACUUUGGGAUAACUUCAGGAAACUGGGGCUAAUACCGGAUAGGAGCUCCUGCUGCAUGGUGGGGGUUGGAAAGUUUCGGCGGUUGGGGAUGGACUCGCGGCUUAUCAGCUUGUUGGUGGGGUAGGGGCUUACCAAGGCUUUGACGGGUAGCCGGCCUGAGAGGGUGACCGGCCACAUUGGGACUGCGAUACGGCCCAGACUCCUACGGGAGGCAGCAGUGGGGAAUAUUGCACAAUGGGCGGAAGCCUGAUGCAGCAACGCCGCGUGCGGGAUGACGGCCUUCGGGUUGUAAACCGCUUUCGCCUGUGACGAAGCGUGAGUGACGGUAAUGGGUAAAGAAGCACCGGCUAACUACGUG